This 73-nucleotide transfer RNA is filed under the name Stegodyphus mimosarum. It matches the Rfam family "tRNA". Rfam says of the family: Transfer RNA (tRNA) molecules are approximately 80 nucleotides in length. Their secondary structure includes four short double-helical elements and three loops (D, anti-codon, and T loops). Further hydrogen bonds mediate the characteristic L-shaped molecular structure. tRNAs have two regions of fundamental functional importance: the anti-codon, which is responsible for specific mRNA codon recognition, and the 3' end, to which the tRNAs corresponding amino acid is attached (by aminoacyl-tRNA synthetases). tRNAs cope with the degeneracy of the genetic code in two manners: having more than one tRNA (with a specific anti-codon) for a particular amino acid; and 'wobble' base-pairing, i.e. permitting non-standard base-pairing at the 3rd anti-codon position. Lineage: Eukaryota; Metazoa; Arthropoda; Arachnida; Araneae; Eresidae. The record is from Rfam by way of RNAcentral.
GCCUUUGUUGUGUAGUGGUCAGCACACUGGACGCAUAUUCCAGAGGUCCAUUGUUCGAAUCCCGGCGAAAGCG